GGGAGUGCGGCAAAGUUGGAGAGUUGCGCUGGUCUGUAAAACCAGAGCGUUCGCGCUGAGAGGGUUCGAUUCCCUCCGCUCCCA
This 84-nucleotide transfer RNA is filed under the name Abditibacteriota bacterium. Its description in RNAcentral is "tRNA-Tyr(gta)". It matches the Rfam family "tRNA". From Rfam's summary of the family: Transfer RNA (tRNA) molecules are approximately 80 nucleotides in length. Their secondary structure includes four short double-helical elements and three loops (D, anti-codon, and T loops). Lineage: Bacteria; Pseudomonadati; Abditibacteriota. The record is from RNAcentral.